GGAUUUUUAUCCUAUGGAGAUCUUUAAUCUUGAUGUUGUCAUUUGGUCUCAGGGCAGUGCUUGGCUUGCGAACUCCAUCCUGGAUUAGUACCAGAAAGUGCCGCAGACCAGAGGCCACACGUUCCCUCCCUAACACAUUCUCAGCCCGCUUCCCUUCCAAGCAGCCGCCACACCCUGUGCCAUGCCAGCCGCUGGCUCAAGGCAAGCAGGAUCCCUAUCAGCAGCCUACCUGUCACGCAGUGGUCCCGGAGAACGCAGAGGCUCAGCAGCGCCUGGAGCACAGGAAGCGCGGGCGCCCUGCCCUGCAGGUGUGGUCCCACCUGGCGCCCACUGGCCGCAGCUGCCUGCGGUGCAGGUGGCGGGUGGCGGACGGGCGGUCUGCGGCUCGGGUGGGAGCCCCGGCGCCAGCUCUGCAAAUAUCCACGUAGCAUCGCUGCUAGGUGCCCGUCUCCGGGAGCAAGAUGCCUGCACAAAAGCAUCGGGCAUGGAACGCACAGAUUUUGAACAUUAGUUUCUAUUUCAUCUCUGUGGGAGAAAGGAACACGCACUAUGGGAAAGUGGAGGGGAAGAGAGCCCCGCAUAAUUUCCGACGGAUGUUUGACAAAUCAUUUCGCCCUCAGAACCCUGCAUCAGCCCCCGUUUCCCAAGUUUAAAAUUCUUGUCAUUGUCAGUGUCAGUGACGCCUUUCCAAAUCUGAGAAAGAAUAGAUCAGACCCACCGAGAUACAACUUUUUUUUUUUUUUAACUUUUCAAGCAGUAUUAAAAGUACAGAAAAUUGGCUUUAAAAUUGUUGUUUUGAAUAUGGUCUAUUUUGAAGGGAAAAAAAAAUCCAGAAUAUGAAAAUGUCUGAAAAUAGAGUAGCUCAGUAGUUGCCUGAAUUUGGAGGGGAGGGAGUGGGAGAUGGUAGCUCAUAGGUAGAGUGUUCUGAUUUAGGAUAAGAAAAAUGACUUAAUUUUGAUUGUGGUUACAGUUGUACAGAUUUGUCAACGUGUUAACAUCACCUAAAUCCUGCAUUUUGAAUUGGUAAAUUGUACAGCAUGCACAUUUUUUAGUUUAGCCCAGUUGUUUUAUUUACAAAAAGGAAAUUGGUUUAAAAAGGGGGACUGUAUUUUAAAUAUUCUAAGUAGAAUAAAAUGUACAACAAUUGGCUAUUGUAUCUGAUAUAACUUUUCUUAUAUAGAAUAAAAUAAAAUAGAAGGCCCUGUUGGAGCUAUACAUUUUGUACAUUGCAGUGUGUAAAAUUUUUCAUAAUUUUUGUGGCUUCUAUAUGUUUAAAAAUCGUGAGCAAUUUGAAUAUGCUUUGUUUGGCCUUGCAAAAAGAAGAGAGCAUGUGGUUUUGGGCAAUUCCCUUUAAGAACUGUCCUUUUGAAAACUCAUUAGGCUGAGAGGAGGGAUUGAGACAGACAGACAGACAGCAAGAAGUAGGUCAUGAACCACCACAGAAACAGGGCUGGCGUGAGCUAUUCUGUCACCUGUUUCUUUGGCAAUUGAAGGACAGGCCCAUUCACUGUGAGCAUUUCUCCUGCUGAAGGUGAUAUAUCUCAUGUCAAGGAAAAAGCCCAUCCUGCGUCUGUGGGAUUCAUUUGCCUCUGAGAGCAAAAAGUUUAGAGAAACAGUUGGCUGUUUUCGGAUGAGGAAAACAUUGCUUUAGUCUGUCUGCUUAGCCUUUAACAUCCCCACCAACACCAUGCAAGAACUGAAGCCUUGUUUCCCAGAGCAUAAGCAAGCGUAGGCGUGUCCAAAGGUGCAUGUUAUCUUACUGUGGUAGAAACAGUGUAUACAUACAUGUAUUUUUCCCUCAAAUAUCAUAUUUUA
Cavia porcellus (domestic guinea pig) is the source of this 1815-nucleotide long non-coding RNA. The record is from Ensembl. NCBI's taxonomy places the organism in Eukaryota, Metazoa, Chordata, Mammalia, Rodentia, Caviidae.